Molecule: transfer RNA, 76 nt
Filed under: Phaeodactylibacter luteus
Lineage: Bacteria; Pseudomonadati; Bacteroidota; Saprospiria; Saprospirales; Haliscomenobacteraceae
Description: tRNA-His
Rfam family: tRNA
About the family: Transfer RNA (tRNA) molecules are approximately 80 nucleotides in length.
Source: RNAcentral
GUGGUUGUAGCUCAGUUGGUUAGAGCGCUGGAUUGUGGUUCCAGAGGUCGCCGGUUCAAAUCCGGUCAUCCACCCA